Molecule: long non-coding RNA, 4507 nt
Filed under: Nicotiana tabacum (common tobacco)
Lineage: Eukaryota; Viridiplantae; Streptophyta; Magnoliopsida; Solanales; Solanaceae
Description: long non-coding RNA (NTAB_LNC012921)
Source: RNAcentral
CGUGAUCACCUUCCAAUUGAAGGAAUCUUUCCCAUAACAGAAUUUUAUUCUUGUUUAUCACAUUUAUGAUUUUGGCAUUUUGUGGCUCUUACCAAAAUUCACUCUUUAUCUACCUUGGAGGCCCACACAUUUUCUUUCUCACCCACCAUUCCAUUUUACCUUACAUUAUAUAACACACAUAGAGAUACAGAGGGGGCGAACAGAAACAGAAUAGAGAGAGAAAGAGGGUGACAGGAAACAAAUUAGAGAGGAGAACGAGAGAAGUCUGGGAGGAACGAAAAAACAGAGGAAAACGAGGGCCUAUAAAUAUCAUUUUCUUCUACAAAGUUAAUCCAUUCCUUAAACCACCAUUAAUAUCAUCUUUCUUCACCCUUGUUUCCUCCCACCAAAUCUCACCAUAGAUAUUGUCCCUAACACCAAAUAUCACCGACAACUAAUUCAAACACCCUUGCUUAACGUCAAACUAAAGGGGUCGGGUUAGCUAUAUUUUGUUUGAAGUUGCAGAUUGAGGUUUUCGGUUCGCCGUUUUGUUUAUUUUUUGUUGAUUUUUCGCUUCUCCGGUCAAGUUUUCGUCGCCGGAUUUUUCUUCCCUUCAUCAAUUGUAAAGCUAUUUUGGGAAGUUCUAUUAAUGGAAAAGGCUACUUAAAGUGUAGAUUCAACUCAAUUUCCAGGAGAAACAUAUCAUUAAAGGUCCAACUCUUUUCUCUUUUUUUCUUGCAUUUUGUUUUCUAGCUUUGCUGCUGUUUGAUUUACUUUACGAAAUGGUCUUGUGGCUUAUUUUAUAAUUUGUAUGUUAAUGUGUUCUUAACAGAAUAGUUGUUAUACUUUGAAUCAAUACUUCUUUAAUUAAAACAUAAGAGAUAAUUUGAUUUUGAGUUUUUGGGUUUAGUUAUAAAAGUUAAAAUUAAAAUGGACACUAUCAUGAAACAAGCAAGAGAUUCGGGGUUAAGAAUAGUUUAGAGUGGUUGGGUUUAAACCAAAAAAAUAAAAUUGGGCUUUGCUUGAGUUAUUCGCAUUUUAAACUGACAAAAUAAAAAAAAUUGAAAACAAAUUUAGAUUAAAAGGGAUUUGGGCUUAAUAUGAAUCUUAUUUAUUUCUAUUGAGUACGUUAGAAUGCUUUAGGAACAUUUUGGAUCUAUCACCGUGAUUGUGUACAUGUUCGCGUGACAUAAUUAUGAUUCUAAAAGUAAAUCGAGGUAUGCGUUCGUGCAACUUCAGUCAAACUUUCUUAAUAAUAAAGCAUUAUUAAUUGUGGACACGUUCGCGUGACAUAAUUUUUGACGCGCCAAAUAAAUGGGUACACGUACGCGUGACCUGUUUUAAGAUAAUUUCUUGACUAAAAGAGGUAAAUGCACAUAGGUUCUAAAAUAAUUAAUUAGGCAAUUUAAUUAAGCCAAGUAUGAUUAAAGCGACCGUGCUAAAAUCACGUAACCCGGGAAUGCUAACACCUUCUCCAGGGUUAAUAGAAUUCCUCACCCAGAUUUCUAUGUUCGCAGACUGUAAAACAGAGUCAAGCUUCCUCGAUUCAGAAUUUUAAACUGGUGACUUGGGACACUAUAAAUUAUCCCAAGUGGUGAUUUUGAAUUUGAAUAAAUAAUCCCGUUUCAAUUAUCGUCACUUUAAAUGGAAAAACUUCCUUAUAUCCUCUCUCGGGUGGUAAAAAGGAGGUCUGAUAGCUCAGGCGACUCUACAGGGGAUAAGAACCUAGAAUCUCCGGUUCAAGGUUCAGAAUUCGAGCUUGUUAAUAUGAUCUAUGCUUGACUUUAUUGUUUGUUGAUAUUACUGAAUUUGUGGACCUAAUGUGCUAAUUGACGCUUAUUUAUUGCUUUGAUAUUAUUUGAACUGUAUUAAAUUUUCUUCUUAUGCCUCCCUUCUGAGUCCUCUAAGAAUGGUGCACACGUUCGCGUGACCCACUUUUCUGUUAGAAGUUAUACCAAAUAGAACGAGAUUGGUCCAACAACAAGGCCGGGUAGACUUUCGUUCUCCCGGUACGUUGCCCCAACCUUGGCUCGAGCUGUCCGCUUGGGUAAACCAUGUCUAGAACACACCCCAGGGUUUCAAACCUAGAAUAACAUAGCCUCAUCCGGAUCCCUAGUAGGAACGUUUAUUUGCAUCACGUGCAUUUGACUUAGGGGACUCAACACAGGGGUUGGGUCCGUCUAGGACAGGUGUACCCUGAAUGAAAGACCAUCCUGAUGCAUCUUACAUGCUAUUUAUAUAUUUAUUUGCUUCGACUUGUAUGUUGACUGGCUAAGGAAAGAAAAACAACAGAAAAAUUAAGAGUGAGGUAAGAUAGAGAAUUCACUCGGUUAUGAAAAUCCCGGUAUUUGAAAACGCCUCGAAACUCUGCCAAAAUUUUUUAAAAAAAAAAGAAGAAGGGAAAAUGUAUUUCAAAAAAUGAAAGUGAGUCAAUAUAAUGUUUUUUCCAAUUGUGUACAUGUUUGCGUGACAUAAUUAUGAUUCUAAAUAUAAAUCAAGGUAUGCGUUCACGCAACUUCAGUCAAACUUUCUUAAUAAUAAUAAAGUAUUAUUAAUUGUGGACACAUUCGCGUGACAUAAUUUUUGACGGGCCAAACAAAUGGGUACACGUACGCGUGACCUGUUUUAAGACAAUUUCUUGACUAAAAGAGGUAAAUGCACAUAGGUUCUCAAAUAAGUAAUUAGGCAAUUUAAUUAAGCCAAGUAUGAUUAACGUGACAGUGCUAAAACUACGGAACCCGCGAAUGCCUAACACCUUCUCCCGGGUUAACAAAAUUUCUUACCCGAAUUUCUGUGUUUGCAGACUGUAAAACUGAGUCAAACUUCCUCGAUUUGGGAUUUUAAACCGGUGACUUGGGACACCAUAAGUUAUCCCAAGUGGCGACUCUGAAUUUGAAUAAAUAAUCAUAUUUCGAUUAUCGUCACUUUAAUUGGAAAAACUCCCUUAUAUCCCCUCUCGAGUGGUAAAAAGAAGGUGUGACACCUUGCACCACUUUGCUCAUAGUAUCACAAUAACAUUCUCAGAUCAAUUUAGUCGAAAUUCAACGAAUCUAAUGCUUCUAUUGCACCCCAUGACAUACAUAGGUCUUGCUCUAACUCUUACAAUACUGCCACGACGGAAGAGAUGUGUAGAAAUUCAUAACCAACUACCAAAUCAACAAUUCAUUGGGUCUAUACUUCUGAUAGGAACCAUCACCUCAUUCUGAACCAAAUAAUGGUCUUUUCUCCUGUCACGACCCCAAAUACCCAGUCGUGAUGGCACCUAUCACAUUGUUAGGCAAGUUAACCCAAACCAUUAACUACAACAAAGUCCUUUUAUAAAACUAUUUUCUAACACAGGUUUAAAUACCAAAUUUCCAUAAUAAGCGUUUAAAACAUAAUUACAUAUGCGGAAGUCAAAUAAACAUGAAAGCUACACAGCCCCAAACAUCUGGUGUCACGAGUCUAGAGCCUCUAUUACAUAACUGACUAUCUGAUACAACAAAAGUCUAGAAAAAUACGGAAAGAGAACAAGAUAAGAAGGAGAAAACAUGAUAACAAAUCCAUUUCACAGUUUAAAACUAGGUUCGUCGUAAAAUUAUCAGCUUCAGUUUAAAAACUUAAAAUCAUAUACUUAGCAAUUUUUCCAGCAGAGGCUAUUUUUAAAAGAAGAGUGAAAUCAGUGAAAAUAUCAUAACUGGGCCCCUCGGGCAAGGUAUCACUCAGAACAUGGCCUAUCGGCCAGCUUCUCAAUCACUCAUGACUCACUCUCGUCACUCAGUACUCACUCUCAGCACUUGAUAACUAGGGAUUUUGACGCAUUCUAUGCUCCUUCUUGCUUACGCUUUGAUUAUAAAUUCAUACAAAAUAGUCCCAAAAGGCUCAUAAGUUGUGCUUGAUUGCAGGUUUGAUCAAUAAAGUGACAAGAUGUCAAAGAUCUCUCAAAAGGAGUGAAACUUGCACAAGUACCAAAGAUAAGACAAACUCAGGAAAAACAGGCCUAGUGCGGCUGCACUAUACUUUGUGCGGUCCGCACUAGGGAGGUUCAGAGAGAUGGUACUUCAGGAAUUAAUGCAGUGCGGCCACAGAAGGUUGUGUGCGGUCCACACUAAAGGCAAUGCGGUCGCACUACCAUUCUGUGCGGUCCACAGAGUCAAGGUUCAGAAAGGGUAAAGUUGGAGCUUUCAAGCCUGCGCUGUCCGCGGUCCAGUUUGUGCGGACCGCACUAGAAGCCUCUGCGACCGUGGUCCAUUCUGUGUGGUCCGCGGAGCCUGAGUUCAGAGAGCUAAGUUUUCAAGUUCAAGAGCCUAGUGCGGCCGCACUGACCCCGCAGGGGCAUUUUUGUCCAUUUUUUCCAGCUUAGUAUAAAUAGAAUCUUUUUCUAUUUUUAGGGUAUCAGAUAUUUUAGAAUAGCUGCUGCGCUCGUGGAAACGUAUCUUGUAGCCAUUUUGGGCAUUUUUACUUACUUUUUAUCAUUGAAUCUUUGUAUUUAGCUUAGCAAUUAAUUAAUAUGUGUUCAUCUUUAUCUAUUUCUCUGUUUUUCUUUCAA